RNAcentral lists this unclassified non-coding RNA (263 nucleotides) under uncultured bacterium. Its description in RNAcentral is "contains 16S-23S intergenic spacer region". The record is from RNAcentral.
CCAACUCCAAUCCCCAACACCCCAUAUGGUGUUCCUGGAGAGCCAUCACAUGCCACCCCAAAACAUCACAAAUCACCACCCUAGACCUCUCCCACCUCAAUCUCUCCGGCACUAUCUCCCCCCAAAUCCGCCACCUUUCCACCUUAAACCACCUUAACCUCAGUGGAAAUGACUUCACCGGGAGUUUCCAAUACGCCAUUUUCGAACUAACAGAACUGAGAACACUAGACAUCAGCCACAACUCCUUCAAUUCAACCUUUCCA